RNAcentral lists this ribosomal RNA (860 nucleotides) under uncultured organism. RNAcentral's name for it is "bacterial SSU rRNA". It matches the Rfam family "Archaeal small subunit ribosomal RNA", at positions 477 to 1338 of the family's 1478-position model. The record is from RNAcentral.
CAGCUCUCCGAGUGGUAGGGACGAUUAUUGGGCUUAAAGCGUCCGUAGCCGGCCUGGCAAGUCUUCCGUUAAAUCCAACGAUUCAAUCGUUGGACUGCGGGAGAUACUGUCAGGCUAGGGGGCGGGAGAGGCCGACGGUAUUCCCGGGGUAGGGGUAAAAUCCUAUAAUCCCGGGAAGACCACCAGUGGCGAAGGCGGUCGGCUAGAACGCGCCCGACAGUGAGGGACGAAAGCUGGGGGAGCGAACCGGAUUAGAUACCCGGGUAGUCCCAGCUGUAAACGAUGCGGGCUAGGUGUUGGAGCGGCUACGAGCCGCUUCAGUGCCGCAGGGAAACCAUUAAGCCCGCCGCCUGGGGAGUACGGCCGCAAGGCUGAAACUUAAAGGAAUUGGCGGGGGAGCACCACAAGGGGUGAAGCUUGCGGUUUAAUUGGAGUCAACGCCGGGAAACUUACCGGGGGCGACAGCAGGAUGAAGGCCAGAUUGAAGGUCUUGCUGGACGAGCUGAGAGGAGGUGCAUGGCCGUCGCCAGUUCGUGCCGUGAGGUGUCCUGUUAAGUCAGGCAACGAUCGAGACCCACGCCCCCUGUUGCCACCGAGGAGGUUUCUCCAAGGGGCACUCUGGGGGGACCGCCGCCGACAAGGCGGAGGAAGGAGUGGGCCACGGCAGGUCAGUAUGCCCCGAAUCCCCCGGGCCACACGCGAGCUGCAAUGGCUGGGACAGAGGGUUCCGACCCCGAGAGGGGAAGGUAAUCCCUAAACCCAGCCGUAGUUGGGAUCGAGGGCUGAAACUCGCCCUCGUGAACAUGGAAUCCCUAGUAAUCGCGCGUCAUCAUCGCGCGGUGAAUACGUCCCUGCUCCUU